UACGUAGGGUGCAAGCGUUAAUCGGAAUGACUGGGCGUAAAGGGUGCGCAGGCGGUUUGUUAAGACAGAGGUGAAAUCCCCGGGCUUAACCUGGGAAUGGCCUAUGUGACUGGCAGGCUAGAGGAUGGCAGAGGGAGGCGGAAUUCCACGUGUAGCAGUGAAAUGCGUAGAGAUGUGGAGGAACACCGAUGGCGUAGGCAGCCUCCUGGGCCAAUUCUGACGCUCAGGCACGAAAGCGUGGGGAUCAAACAGG
RNAcentral lists this ribosomal RNA (253 nucleotides) under uncultured bacterium. Its description in RNAcentral is "partial 16S ribosomal RNA". It matches the Rfam family "Bacterial small subunit ribosomal RNA", at positions 524 to 776 of the family's 1533-position model. The record is from RNAcentral.